Molecule: unclassified non-coding RNA, 246 nt
Filed under: [Borrelia] lusitaniae
Lineage: Bacteria; Pseudomonadati; Spirochaetota; Spirochaetia; Spirochaetales; Borreliaceae
Description: Borreliella lusitaniae partial miscellaneous RNA
Source: RNAcentral
CUGCGAGUUCGCGGGAGAGUAGGUUAUUGCCAGGGUUUUUUAUUUUAUACUUCAAAUCUUGAAUUUAUUUUUUAUGUUUUUAAAUGUUUAUUUUUUUGAGUGUUUGAUUUAAAAAAAUAAAAUAGAUAUUGACAUGGAUUAAACAAAGAUAUAUAUUAUUCUAUGUUGCAUAAACAAAUUGGCAAAGUAGAGAUGGAAGAUAAAAAUAUGGUCAAAGUAAUAAGAGUCUAUGGUGAAUGCCUAGGA